RNAcentral lists this ribosomal RNA (566 nucleotides) under uncultured Glomeromycotina. RNAcentral's name for it is "SSU rRNA". It matches the Rfam family "Eukaryotic small subunit ribosomal RNA", at positions 548 to 1114 of the family's 1831-position model. Lineage: Eukaryota; Fungi; Glomeromycota. The record is from RNAcentral.
UUGGAGGGCAAGUCUGGUGCCAGCAGCCGCGGUAAUUCCAGCUCCAAUAGCGUAUAUUAAAGUUGUUGCAGUUAAAAAGCUCGUAGUUGAAUUUCGGGAUCAAUGUUUCGGUCAUGCCGUUGGUAUGUACUGAUAUUAUUGAUUUCUCACCUUCUAAAGAACCGUAAUGCCAUUAAUUUGGUGUCACGGGGAAUUAGGACUGUUACCUUGAAAAAAUUAGAGUGUUUAAAGCAGGCUCACGCUUGAAUACAUUAGCAUGGAAUAAUGAAAUAGGACAUCCGAUUCUAUUUUGUUGGUUUCUAGGAUCGAUGUAAUGAUUAAUGGGGAUAGUUGGGGGCAUUAGUAUUCAAUUGUCAGAGGUGAAAUUCUUGGAUUUAUUGAAGACUAACUACUGCGAAAGCAUUUGCCAAGGAUGUUUUCAUUAAUCAAGAACGAAAGUUAGGGGAUCGAAGACGAUCAGAUACCGUCGUAGUCUUAACCAUAAACUAUGCCGACUAGGGAUCGGAUGAUGUUAAUUUUUUAAUGACUCAUUCGGCGCCUUACGGGAAACCAAAGUGUUUGGGUUC